This 502-nucleotide ribosomal RNA is filed under the name uncultured bacterium. RNAcentral's name for it is "partial 16S ribosomal RNA". It matches the Rfam family "Bacterial small subunit ribosomal RNA", at positions 28 to 507 of the family's 1533-position model. The record is from RNAcentral.
GACGAACGCUGGCGGCGUGCCUAAUACAUGCAAGUCGAACGAACCGCGACUAAGUGCUUGCACUAAGUCAAGGUGAGUGGCGAACGGGUGAGUAACACGUGGGUAACCUACCUCAUAGUGGGGGAUAACAGUCGGAAACGACUGCUAAUACCGCAUAGGACAUAGGAUCACAUGAUCCAGUGAGGAAAGGUGGCGCAAGCUAUCGCUAAGAGAUGGACCCGCGGUGCAUUAGCUAGUUGGUAGGGUAAAGGCCUACCAAGGCGAUGAUGCUUAGCCGACCUGAGAGGGUGAUCGGCCACAUUGGGACUGAGACACGGCCCAAACUCCUACGGGAGGCAGCAGUAGGGAAUCUUCCGCAAUGGACGCAAGUCUGACGGAGCAACGCCGCGUGAGUGAAGAAGGUCUUCGGAUCGUAAAGCUCUGUUGUUAGAGAAGAACAGCGCAUAGAGUAACUGCUAUGCGUGUGACGGUAUCUAACCAGAAAGCCACGGCUAACUACGUG